RNAcentral lists this ribosomal RNA (821 nucleotides) under uncultured bacterium. RNAcentral's name for it is "bacterial SSU rRNA". It matches the Rfam family "Bacterial small subunit ribosomal RNA", at positions 46 to 902 of the family's 1533-position model. The record is from RNAcentral.
GCUUAACACAUGCAAGUCGAACGAGAAAGCCCGCAAGGGUGAGUAAAGUGGCGUACGGGUGAGUAACACGUGGGUAAUCUACCUCUGGGUGGGGAAUAACCCUGGGAAACCGGGGCUAAUACCGCAUAAGCCUGGAAAGGGAAAGGCGAAAGUCGCCGAGAGAGGAGCCCGCGGCCGAUUAGCUAGUUGGUAGGGUAAAGGCCUACCAAGGCGAUGAUCGGUAGCCGGCCUGAGAGGGCACACGGCCACACUGGCACUGAAACACGGGCCAGACUCCUACGGGAGGCAGCAGUGGGGAAUCUUGCACAAUGGGGGCAACCCUGAUGCAGCGACGCCGCGUGAGCGAUGAAGCCCUUCGGGGUGUAAAGCUCUUUCGGCUGGAACGAUGAUGACGGUACCAGCAGAAGAAGCUGCGGCUAACUACGUGCCAGCAGCCGCGGUAAUACGUAGGCAGCGAGCGUUGUUCGGAGUUACUGGGCGUAAAGAGUGCGUAGGCGGUGACCUAAGUCUGGUGUGAAAUCUCCCGGCUCAACUGGGAGGGUGCGCCGGAAACUGGGUUGCUUGAGUGUGGGAGAGGCUAGCGGAAUUCCUGGUGUAGCGGUGAAAUGCGUAGAGAUCAGGAGGAACACCUGCGGUGUAGACGGCUGGCUGGACCACGACUGACGCUGAGGCACGAAAGCGUGGGGAGCAAACAGGAUUAGAUACCCUGGUAGUCCACGCCCUAAACGAUGCAUACUUGGUGUGGGUGAUUCAUUUCAUCCGUGCCGGAGCUAACGCGUUAAGUAUGCCGCCUGGGGAGUACGGUCGCAAGGCUGAAACUC